Molecule: ribosomal RNA, 207 nt
Filed under: uncultured bacterium
Lineage: Bacteria
Description: partial 16S ribosomal RNA
Rfam family: Bacterial small subunit ribosomal RNA
Source: RNAcentral
UACGUAGGGUGCAAGCGUUAUCCGGAAUUAUUGGGCGUAAAGAGCUCGUAGGCGGUUUGUCGCGUCUGCUGUGAAAACUGGGGGCUCAACCCCCAGCCUGCAGUGGGUACGGGCAGACUAGAGUGCGGUAGGAGAGAUUGGAAUUCCUGGUGUAGCGGUGGAAUGCGCAGAUAUCAGGAGGAACACCGAUGGCGAAGGCAGAUCUCU